This 254-nucleotide ribosomal RNA is filed under the name uncultured bacterium. RNAcentral describes it as "partial 16S ribosomal RNA". It matches the Rfam family "Bacterial small subunit ribosomal RNA", at positions 524 to 776 of the family's 1533-position model. The record is from RNAcentral.
UACGGGGGGAGCAAGCGUUGUUCGGAUUUACUGGGCGUAAAGGGCGCGUAGGCGGCCACCGCAAGUCGACUGUGAAAUCUCCGGGCUUAACCCGGAAAGGUCAGCCGAUACUGCGGGGCUAGAGUGUGGAAGGGGCAAUCGGAAUUCUUGGUGUAGCGGUGAAAUGCGUAGAUAUCAAGAGGAACACCUGAGGUGAAGACGGGUUGCUGGGCCAACACUGACGCUGAGGCGCGAAAGCCAGGGGAGCAAACGGG